Molecule: ribosomal RNA, 251 nt
Filed under: uncultured prokaryote
Description: partial 16S rRNA
Rfam family: Bacterial small subunit ribosomal RNA
Source: RNAcentral
ACGAAGGGAGCUAGCGUUGUUCGGAAUUACUGGGCGUAAAGGGCGCGUAGGCGGUAAGACAAGUCAGGUGUGAAAGCCCUGGGCUCAACCCAGGAAUUGCGCUUGAUACUGUUUUUCUUGAAUUCGGGAGAGGUUGGUGGAAUUCCCAGUGUAGAGGUGAAAUUCGUAGAGAUUGGGAAGAACACCCGUGGCGAAGGCGGCCAACUGGACCGACAUUGACGCUGAGGCGCGAAAGCGUGGGGAGCAAACAG